GUAACGCGUAUAUAACCUACCUAUUACAAGGAGAUACUCUGGAGAAAUUCGGAAUAAUAUUCUAUGGUACUGUUGAUUGGCAUCAAUUGAUAGUUAAAGCGAGAGCGGUAAUAGAUGGAUAUGCGUCUGAUUAGUUAGUUGGUAGGGUAACGGCCUACCAAGACGAUGAUCAGUAGGGGUUCUGAGAGGAAGGUCCCCCACACUGGCACUGAGAUACGGGCCAGACUCC
RNAcentral lists this ribosomal RNA (229 nucleotides) under uncultured bacterium. RNAcentral's name for it is "partial 16S ribosomal RNA". It matches the Rfam family "Bacterial small subunit ribosomal RNA", at positions 110 to 339 of the family's 1533-position model. The record is from RNAcentral.